Peromyscus maniculatus bairdii (prairie deer mouse) is the source of this 989-nucleotide non-coding RNA. NCBI's taxonomy places the organism in Eukaryota, Metazoa, Chordata, Mammalia, Rodentia, Cricetidae. The record is from RefSeq and is a predicted model, not a curated record.
CGGGGAAGCUAGGAGCACUGCAGGAGAAAGUGUCCUACAAAUUGAAUUCUGGCUGGCAACCAAGAACAAUGUGAUGGCAACUCUCCUUGCAAAUAUGAAAACAAGUGAAGACCCAACACACCACAGGCUUGAGGAGACACACCUGUGCCACUUGUUGCCCAAAGGACUCAAUGUGCAGCCUUCAUCUCAGCUUCUUCAUCAAGUGUCCGUGAGAAAAGAAUGCCGAGAGAGACACAUAAGUUACUCAGUUGAGGAAAAUGAAGACACUUAAUAAAUUUUUCACCGUCACUCUUCAGCAUUGAAGACCGACCCACCAUAGAGUUUUGAGUAGAAGAGCAAAUGAUCUGGAAAAUCAUUAACAUGAGAUGGAACAGGAAGGCCAGACUUCUGUACCUCACCACACUGCCUGGUUUAAGAUAAUCAUUCUACAACAACCAACUUUCUUCUAAGUAUAUGAAAGCCAUUCCCACAACCCCAGCACCUGCACAGUGCCUGACUUGGACUGGUGUACCAGGGUCCUGUGCUGUUGUUCCCUUUGGGGGAAGGGACCAAGUAGGUGCAGUGUCAACAAUACAGGCUUUGUCAUCCCUCAGACUGGCAUGUGACCUUGCUGUGAUUCAGUGAUCCUCUAUUGUCUUUUGCAAACCAAUUUCAAAUGAACCCAGCAUGUAUGAACAGAUCCUGUGCAAAGGGUGAACGACUGGUGAAAGCAGAAGAGAAGCAGACUAUGUGCAUGAAUUCCAAACUCUGUUCCACAACUGUCAAGUGUGCUUUGCGGGACAGCAGUCAGACUUCCUCAGGGACCCUAACCUUGCUUCAUCUCUCUUGUGUUUACACAGACACCCCAACAAAGCCUCUUUCAGUUGGUAUUGCUAGCCUAUUUUUAUUUCCUUGUUUAUACUGAAAAUUUUUUGAGGUUAUAAGAUAAGAUCUCUUCUCUCACCUCCAUCCAAAUCCUCUCCUAUAACCUUUUCUUCUCUUCUUCAAAU